RNAcentral lists this long non-coding RNA (3900 nucleotides) under Brassica napus (rape). RNAcentral's name for it is "long non-coding RNA (BNAP_LNC010368)". Lineage: Eukaryota; Viridiplantae; Streptophyta; Magnoliopsida; Brassicales; Brassicaceae. The record is from RNAcentral.
CCACUACCCAUGUUGAAGAUCACUCCAGAAUUUGUACAUUAGCUGAUAAAUAUGACCAGAAAGGACUGAGUGUUGAUGAGCGGCUGAUGGCAAUUGCUGGAACUCUUGACAAGAUAGCAGAGACCUUCAGGUAUAAGGAUAGCCUAGCAGCUGCUGAAAGCCCAGAUGCCAUGAAAGUAUCCAAUUCAAAUUUGACUGAAGAAUGUAAUGUUCUCUCGCCAAGGUUGAGUGAUUGGUCACGGAGAGGGUCAGAAGACAUGCUUGACUGUCUCCCAGAGACUGAUAAUUCAGUUUUUAUGGAUGAUAUGAGAGGUCUACCCUUAAUGUCUUGUAAAACCCGUUUUGGUUCCAAGUCUGAUCUAGGAGGCAUGGCAACUUCAUCUGCCAGCAGCAUGACUCCUAGAUCCCCGAUUCCAACCCCCAGACCUGACCCAAUUGAAAUGAUUCUAGGAGGCAAGGGUACAUUCCAUGAUCACGAUGACAUUCCACAGGUUUGUGAUGGUUGUGCUCCAUCUUCAUAAGUUUUCCUGUCUUUGUGAUUAAUUAUUCCCCUGAUAAAAAACUCUUGACAACCCAACGCAGAUGAGUGAACUCGCUGACAUUGCAAAAUGUGCAGCAGAUGCUAUUCCUGGUGAUGAGCAACCAAUUCCCUUUUUACUUUCUUGUCUUGAAGAUCUGAGGGUGGUCAUAGACCGCAGUAAGUUUGAAGCACUUACAGUAGAAACGUUUGGAACUCGCAUAGAAAAGUUGAUCCGGUAAGUUCCUUGGUGUUAUUAUUGUAUGAGAGAUUCUCUCGAGUCCCUCCCUCACUCUUCAUUAUGAUUUCCAGAAGUAUUAUCUGUUAAAAGUAUACUUUUCUUGAUUAUAUAGGGAGAAAUACUUGCAGAUCUGUGAGCUUAUGGAUGAUGAAAAAGUUGACUUAUCAAGCACUGUAAUUGAUGAAGAUGCUCCUUUAGAAGAUGAUGUUGCUCGAAACGUGCAUCCACGGGAUCGCACAUCCAUAGAUGAUUUUGAGAUCAUAAAACCAAUAAGUCGGGGAGCUUUUGGGAGAGUGUUUUUGGCUAAAAAGAGAACGACAGGAGAUCUAUUUGCAAUCAAGGUAAAAUAUAUUUUGCUUUACACAUCAUAAGUUUGGAUUGUUUAUUUUUUCCCUAAAAUAAUAUUUGAAAUUCGACACAAGAAAAUGAUAAACGUAACUCAAGAAAUUAAUUGUCGAUGAACAAGGUUUUGUAAUUCAUAAAAUCAAUGAUGAACAAAAAUAAUGCAAGUUAGAUAACAGCCGAAAUGAUAGAUUUGCUUGCCAGUAAAAUAGAUAAUUUCGCAUUCAGUUGUCAAAGAUGUAUAAUUAGUGAAAGACUCGUUGAUCAAAAUAAUAAUAAAAAUUAGCGAAAGACUGAAAGUAUGAAAUUGAGGUCUGUUGGAAAACAAUUUGAUAGAUAACGAAAGCUUUUAUGUAUCUGUUAAAAAUCUUAGUCAAAAGUCAAAAUCUAGUCUUAAGUCUUAAACAGGCUUUUUUGUUGGGACUAAAAAUCGACGGUGUCUACUACACACACUCGCGCUUUCUUUUCUUCCUCGUCUUUCAGCAGAGAGAUUGAAAAGUUGGGAGUGUGUAAAUGACAACGAGGUUUUUAGUCGUAAUGGUGAUUAGGUUGAGUUGAACAAAAUCGAAAAUGGUGUUCAAGAACAAGCUCUUCUUCUCAUCGAAGAAAUCCGGAUCGUCGAGCCCCGAUAGCUCCAACAGCCCCAGAUCCGACGGCUCCAAGGGCGAUAAUCCGAGCUCCGGAGUCGGGUGUAAGCAGGCGGAGAUUAAAGAUGGAUCGAAGAAGGGCAAGGGAAAGCAAGUUCCAUCUCCUCACUCGAUCGGCAAAUCGAACUUGUCUCCUAGCUCCGACGCGAAGGAAGGAGGAGGAGGACCUGCUUUCGUUUCUCCGAUCAUGGCUUCCUCUCUGGGCUUGAACCGGAUCAAGACGAGAUCCGGACCUUUGCCGCGGGAAAGUGUUUUCAAUUUUAGGAAGGAAGCUGGGAGUAUUAAGCUAGGGGUGGAUCGUGAUGGCUUGUCUCCUGAUGCUGGCCCAAUGAGGAGCCUCAGCCCUAAGUUGCCGCCGGCAUCAGGAUCUCGAUUGCAGAAUGUAGCAUCCUCAUCGGGAGCUGGUAUGUGCACAGAUGACUAACAACAUCUUAAAAUGCUAGGGAUUCGGUUGAUUUAAGAACGCAUUGAACUUGUAUGGCACCUGUUAUGUUAUGAGCAUAUUCGCUUGUAAGAUUUUUAUAAUUAUGCUAGUUUUAAGAAUCACCCGCCGCACUUCUGUUUUUCUGAACUGUUUCUUGAAUACUGUGUCUCUCCUGUUGAUUCUUAUGGUGCUACUUCGUGUAGGUCGCUCUGUGGCAUCUGGACGCUCUGGUCCUCUAAGAAAUUCAGACUUCUGCACCCCGGAGGUACUUUACUCUUUAUUACAUAUAUUUUUGAGGUAGUUUAGUUAUGCUAUAAGUUUUAAGUGAUCUUUUAUGACUUCUUUCUUAGAAUUCGUAUGAAUUGGAAAAUCCAAAAGAGUCAGAAUCACCGCGUUAUCAAGCCUUACUCCGUAUGACCAGUGCUCCGCGGAAGAGGUUUCCUGGUGACAUUAAAAGCUUCUCUCAUGAACUGAACUCAAAAGGUGUACGUCCCUUUCCAUUGUGGAAGCCUCGUAGGUCGAACAAUGUGGAGGUAGGUAUUCUAGACUCUGUUAUCUCUAUUAAUCCCUUGUGAGUUUUGCUCUAAUAGUCUGUCCUUUCCAGGAGAUAUUGGUUCUGAUUCGGGCAAAAUUUGAUAAAGCAAAGGAAGAAGUAAACUCUGACCUUGCCGUAUUUGCUGCGGACCUGGUGGGAGUUCUUGAGAAAAAUGCAGAAAGUCAUCCUGAGUGGGAGGAAACAUUUGAAGACUUGUUAAUAUUGGCUCGCAGUUGUGCUAUGACUUCUCCUGGAGAUUUCUGGCUUCAGUGUGAAGGUAUAGUUCAGGACUUAGAUGAUAGACGUCAAGAGCUCCCUCCGGGCGUUCUCAAGCAGCUUCAUACUCGGAUGCUUUUUAUACUUACCAGAUGUACAAGAUUGCUUCAGUUUCAUAAGGAAAGUUGGGGAGAAGAGGAACAAGCUGUACAACUACGUCAGUCAAGAGUUUUGCAUUCUAUAGAAAAAUUACCUCCUACUGGAGCGGGAAGGAGUUCAAGUGCUGCAAAAAUCUUAAAGAUACCAUCAUCUACCAAGAAAGCUUUUAGUCAGGAACAGCGUGGUUUGGAGUGGAAGGGGGACGUUGUUGUACGCUCGGUUCCUCCUAUCUCUCCUCCCGAAAAUUAUGUUCCUAAUGAAUCUGAAUCUCCUGCAAACAUCGAUAGAAUGUCUUCCUGGAAGAAACUUCCAUCCCCAGCACUGAAAACUGUGAAAGAAGCGCCAGCAUCAGAAGAGCAGAAUGAUAUCAAACUUGAACCUCCAAAUAUGGUUAGAAAUGGACAACCUAGUGAUGAUACUGCUGUUUCUGUUCUAAACUGCCCGCCAGCAAAAGAUUCUCAUGAACAGUCGCCCAAGCAUCGGCACAAUAUUUCUUGGGGUUACUGGGGGGAACAGCCACUUAUCUCGGAGGAAAGUUCAAUAAUGUGCCGUAUCUGUGAGGAGGAAGUUCCCACUACCCAUGUUGAAGAUCACUCCAGAAUUUGUACAUUAGCUGAUAAAUAUGACCAGAAAGGACUGAGUGUUGAUGAGCGGCUGAUGGCAAUUGCUGGAACUCUUGACAAGAUAGCAGAGACCUUCAGGUAUAAGGAUAGCCUAGCAGCUGCUGAAAGCCCAGAUGCCAUGAAAGUAUCCAAUUCAAAUUUGACUGAAGAAUGUAAUGUUCUCUCGCCAAGGUUGAGUGAUUGGUCACGGAGAGGG